Non-coding RNA from Monodelphis domestica (gray short-tailed opossum), 6727 nucleotides. The record is from RefSeq and is a predicted model, not a curated record. Lineage: Eukaryota; Metazoa; Chordata; Mammalia; Didelphimorphia; Didelphidae.
UCAAGUCUCAGUACUCUGAAGGAAAUCUGGAGAUCAGAUGAUUCUGCAACUCAGUGGUUGUUUUCUGUCUCCAAGGCAUCCUGAGAGAUUAAAACUAUUUUUCUAUAGAUUAUGAACUCAACUUCCAUCUUUUGUUGGGCCAUUCUGGGCAAGAAUAAUAAUUGAUGGUGAUGAUGAUAAUGAUGAUGAUGAUGAUGAUAAAGCUAGUAUACGUAUGCUGCUUUCAGAUUUGCAGAGUGCUAUAUGGAAAGAUAUGUCUGUAGAUAUAGAUAUAUUGAUGUCCUAAAGCCAUUGAUAUGGAUUGGCUCCUCAUUGGUGGUUAAUGUUCCAUUCCUACAUGAGAGAAAUAGCAUAGUUGUUGCAGUAGUUGAGAGCUAGAGAGGUCAGAGGAUCAGUUCCUCCAAACUCUAAAACUUCUUAGAGUCUCUUCAAGUUUCCUUCAAGUCAUUUCAGGGUCUUCUGACUUCCAUCUUCAAUGGAAGAUGCCAUUCACCUUCAGGGCUCUAAAAGAAAAAACUCUAGGAAGAAGCCAAAAUGAGAUGAGGUGGCAGUCUCCAUCAUGUCCUUAUUCUUCACUUGCUACAUUACAGGCUCUGGGAAAUUUCCCCUUUGGUGAGAUUCCUCUCUCUUAAUUGAGCUGAGUUAUCUUGCUCCCAAUGGGAGAGCUAAUUCACUCUGUGUUUUCUGGGACAUACUCUCUUAUACAUGCAUGCUCUGAUUUCUGUUUUGCUGUUGACUUUUAAAACUGCAUUUCUUUGCUAUCUACUAUGAGUGUCCAUUGUGGAACUGGCAAUUGGAGGAAAGGUAUUCAAGUUUUGGACAUAAAGCUUUCCCCAUUAAUAAAUAGUACUCAGAAGUUUAACUUGAACCUAAAACCUAUAUUCCCUAUAUCAGCAAUAUUUAAGGGAGCAGAAAGAUAAAAUUCAAACCCAGUGUACCUUCUCUGAGGAAGAGAACAGAGUAGCCAACCUUCUGGCCCCAGAUUCCUGCUUUUCCUCCUGUCAGGAAAGAAAGUCUCAUGUUUGGAGAAGAAUGAGGGAAUGAGAAACUAGAGCUAUCUAUUCUGCCUUCUUUCAAGCCACAUAAUGAAGUCCUCAUGUUACAUGAAGGCAAUAUUUUGCCCUUGCUACAUAUAUUUUGCUAGAUAGACAGAUUUUCAUUUGAAAACAAGUGUAACACAAUCGUUGACACUUAAUAAAUACUUAUUAACUGAUUGAAAAAAAUUAGUGAAACUAUAAUUUUCCACUCUUUCAAAGCAUUCCAUAAUAUUUCCCAAGAUUAGAUGAUGGAUAAGUACCUGUCAUAUUUAUUUGUAUGCAUCCACUUUUUUAGACUCUUGCCUUCUGUUUUUGAAUCAAUAUCAUAUAUUAGUUCCAAGACAGAAGACCAGGAAUGGCUAGGCAAUGGGAGUUAAAUGACUUGCCCAGGGUCACACAGAUAGGCAGUGUCUGAGGUCAGAUUUAAAUCCAGGACCCCCCAUCUCUAGGCCUGACUCUUAAUCCACUGAGUAACCAACUACCACAUUCUUUUGUAUUUAUUUUUUUUAUUUAGUCGAUUUAGAAUAUUAUUCCUUGGUUACAAGAAUCAUAUUCUAUUCUUCUCUCCCCUCACCCCGCCCUUCGCAUCACUGACAUGCAAUUCCACAUGUGUCCUUGAUCAGAACCUAUUUCCAUGUUGUUGAUGUUUGCACUAGGAUGAUCAUUUAGAGUCUACAUCCCCCAUCAUAUCCCCUUGACCCAUGUGAUCAAGCAGUUGUUUUUCUUCUGUGUUUCUACUCCCACAGUUUUUCCUCUGCAUGUGGAUAGUGGUCUUUCUCAUAGAUCCCUCUAGGUUGUUCAGGAUCACUGCAUUGCCACUAAUGGAGGAGUCCAUUACAUUCGAUUGUACCACAGUGUAUCAGUCUCUGUGUACAAUGUUCUCCUGGUUCUGCUCCUCUUGCUCUGCAUCAAUUCCUGGAGGUUGUUCCAGUUCCCAUGUGUAAAGGGUGAACCCCAAAUAAUAAAAUACCCAAGUCAGCUGCCAAAUUUUAUAGUGAUUUAAUUGAUAUAGUAGAGAAGAUUUUAAGAAGAAGGAGGAAAGAAGGGGAUAAUACCGGGCAGGAAGAUAGGAGAUCUAGAAAGUAAAGGUUUGAGUGUGAAGGAGAAAAGAAUCAGCUUGACCUCCAAAGAGGCUUAGCUAAGAUACCCGAACCUGAAAUCAGUUCCAGGGCAAACUCACCAUCCAACAACCAUCCAACACUCUAAGAUAUCGGAAGGCUUAGCACACUGCCAACCAGAGUUGUCUCUCCAGGGAAAGAGAAAGAGGCAGAAAUGACGUGUCGUAUAUGGACGUUUUUACACCACUUUUCUGCAUCUGAUCUGUACCAAUGAGGACUUAGCUUGACUUAGGACAGCCCAGAGGUCUGUCCUUUUUUUGCACAUGUCUGCUGAAGGCCAUCUCCUCAGAUAAUUAAAUCUUGAGUUUGAUGCAGACCUUUCAAAAUCUUGUUAAACUGAGUAGGGUGGAGAAUGUGGGUUUUCCAAGAGCUGAUUCUGUUAUUCUAAGCAUCUCCAUUGUUAUUGAUCAGGAAGUAGCUAAAUCAAAUCUUCUAAAGAAUGGUCUGAUUAGGGUGGAAUAGUUUUAAAAUUCACACAUGGAAUCUCUCCACUUUAUUAUUCCUUUGAGCACAAUAGUAUUCCAUCACGAACAUAUACCACAAUUUGUUCAGCCAUUCCCCAAUUGAAGGGCAUCCCCUCAUUUUCCAAUUUUUUGCCACCACAAAGAAUGCAGCAAUGAAUAUUCUUGUACAAGUCUUUUUCCUUAUUAUCUCUUUGGGGUACAAACCCAGCAGUGCUAUGGCCACAAUCUGUUGUAUUUAUAAAGGUCCUGGGCCCCAUACCCAAGGAUUCAAGUCAGCUCUUAGCUCUUAUUUCUUAGUCUGUUCCCAGCUCUCUCUCAAGACUUCUCCAAAAUGGCACUUACUCUUCAACUGACCCCAAUAUUUUAUAGACUCAACACAAAGGGAUAUCCUGACCCUUGCCUUCCAAAAGUCAGAGUGAAGCUCUUUAUUCCUAAUUAAUUCAUUAACAACCCAUCAAUUCAUUUGCAAGUGAUGAGACUUCAAAUGCCCACAGCCUCAAUAAGAUUUUAUGGUGUAAUCCCUUAUGUAUGCACUCAUUGUUUCCAAGUGGCUUGUCAGGAAACAUGUCCACACCCUCCACAGAAAGAUACAAAGUCCCAAAGGCUCACUUCCUGGUAAGCUCAUAGAGCUGAUCAUAGAACUGAUUAACUCUAAGAAAAAAUAUUUGGCAAUUUUCCAAGGCUCUAAGUUACAGAUGAAUUUGUCAACAUUUAUCAGUGGAGAGGGUUCUCUAUACCAGUGAAAUUGUACCUCCUGAUUAAAAAAAAAUGUGAAUUGAUAUGAACCCAUAUGGUAAGUCAUAUCACAGAAAAUGGCUUAUAGGAAAACACAAGCAUAUAUAUGCAGACAUCUCUCCCAAACCUCCCAACUCAAAUCCUCACAAAUCAAUCAUCAAUGUCAUUUUCCACCACUGAGCUCUCAAAGGCCUUCCCCAGAGCCUAGGCUAUACCAAAAGUCUUAAGUGCAAUUUUAAGUUAUUAGAGAUUAAAGAUGCACUAGGACUUUGGGGAUACCCUGUAGAGAUAAAUUCAUGAGAUCAUGACUAGAACCCAACUUAGCAAUUUUUCCAUCCUCCUUAAUUGAGGUGGCUCUAUUAAAGCAGUUGUUCUUCUAUUUUAAGACAAAGAGAGGCAGCUAAGUCACUCAGUGAAUUGAGAGCCAAGCCUAGAGACAGGAGGUCUGGGGUUCAAAUCUGGCCUCAGAUACUUCCCAGUUGUAUGAUCCUAUGCAAGUCACUUAACCCCCAUGGCCUACCCCUUACCACCCUUUGCCUUAGAACUAAUACCCAGUAUAGAUCAUAAGACAGAAAGUAAGGGUUUAAAAAAGAGGAAAAAACAAAGAAACCUUGUGAUUCCAUCAUUUUCAUAGUGUGACCUUGGGCAAGUCACUUGCAUUCUUGGUGCUGUAGAUAAUCUCUAAUGCAAUAAAUUGAAGAGAAGGGACAGAUCUCCAUUGGUAGAAGUGGGUUUCUCACCUAAGAGUUCCCUAAACCAAUAAAAUCCUAGAUCUAGUACCUAUCUAAGCAAAUUAGGGUUCUCCUAAAAGUCUCUGUACUUCCAUGACUGCCACAUCCCUCACUUGAGGGUCUAUUUCACAUGUCUUUUGGCCUUUGGAUAAAUACAAAAGAAGGUAACACAAAAUUUUCAAAAAUAGCAUUUAAUUAAAAUCUACCUGAAUCAAAUUCACAUGAAAGCCAUUCAAAGCAAAGUCAUAGUACAAGGUAAUCAUUAAUUUAUGCAGAGGACAUUACCAUCUUUACUAAAGGAAAUCUGCAAUAUGAGGCAGGAGGUGAAUAAUUCACCCCCAUCUCCCCAGAUACCUGUUCUCUGAUUGUCACCUGCCUGAGUCAUAAUUGCCUCCUUCCCUACUCACCCAUCUAGUUUUACUACUCUGCUAGCUGCUCAAGAGUAGGCUUUGGUCUUUGGUUUAGUCCUGCUCUCAAUGAAAAUCAUGAAAUUACCACUGUUUAUUCUGUGAUGGAGAUUUGAAACCUUUUCCAAAUACCCUUGGAUCCUCCUCAUCAUCUUCACUUUCCACAAGCAUCUCUUCUGGAAAUAGUGGUUGUUGUUCAGAUGAUUCUUCUACUUCUAAAUCUAGAUCUUCAUCAAGUAGCAAGUCAAGCCAGCUGGUUUUGGGGUAUCCACAGGGCUCAAACUGGGAGGUUGAUGAUGAUGGGAUGGAAUUGAUGAUGGAACUUACAGUUUCAGCAGAGAUUGUGCCCCCUACAAUGGUGUAUGGUUUGAUGUACUUCAAACGCCAUGGAAUUUCUCUGUUCUGUACAAUUGGGAUCUGAUAGGGGAGCCCAGAGUCAACCUCAUCUUGAUAGGCGGAGGGCAAUACCACCCUAGUAUGGUGGUAGUCAUGGCCUGUUGGAGUAUCCUUUUGGUGGCUGGAACCAGAUGAAGGAAUAAUUCUCUCUUUGGGGUUGAAUAGAGGUAAAAUCCGUAUAAUCCGAUCCUCCAGAUCUAUUGGAUCUAAGUCUUCAGUGCUGGUAGACUUUGAUUCAGUUUCAGCCAGUUUGCUAGUGCGAGGUGGAUGUGUGAGGCCUGAUGGUCUGGCCUCAAUGACAUCUCAACCAAAUGGUCUGAGUUAGGGGGAAGUGUGACCCGGGCCUUGUCAUCUGGUGCAUGGUGGUGGUCCAGAAUGGGUGGAGAUAUAGCCUGGAGUUUUGGGUUGGGUUGAGAUAGGACCUGAGACUCAGGAUUUGGUUGAUGUGUUUAAUUGGUAGCCCAAUGCUAUCAAUGCCCAAAAGUCUAGACCAAUAAUAGAUUCAACUGGUUGUUCAGAGAAGACUGAUGGGAGGACACAGGUAUGAGGAUAUAUUGGAGCUUUAUCCCGCUGGUCAAGGCCACUUGGAUCCCUGGAUCUAUGAUCACCAGCUAUUAACAAAGACUUCUCCAAUAUUCCAGGACUGAGUGUGGACUCUGUUAAGGGAGGGCAGUUCUAUUAUAUCUGGAGUUUUGAAAACAGAUGCUGCCUCAGGCUCACUGAGAUUGAGCCUUGGUCUCCACAGCCCCUAGUCAAACCAAUGAUACAGUCCCCAGGAACUAUGGCCUGAUCAUUCACUGCUCUGAUAUGCCCUGGAGGUAGAGGAAUUAUAAUUGGAUGGUCAGGAUAUGGCAACGGCCCAGAGGGGUCUUUGACCUUGUAAUCAGGGCUUGGUGAAGACCGCUUGCAUGGUCAGAGAUUGGGACCAUCAUCUGGAGCAUGGAGCUCUUCAGAUUUCCAGGUGUAAAGAAGGAACAGACUUUGCUCUGACGAGGGGUAUGAAGUGUAGUGAUGAUCUAGCAGUUAGCCUGGCUCUGUGGUUGGGACUCUUGCUUUGAGGCCAUGAUAUCAAUGUGUCUGUUUCUCUGACAAAUUUGGUAAAUGAUGGAGGUGCAGACUUGGCUCUGAAUUUGUUAAAGAUUAGAGAAAGUAUAACUGUUUCUGGAAGUCUGGGAAUAGGUGGUACUUUCUUUAAAGUGCUUGAGUAGGGUUUGAUGAUUGGUUUAAGUUGGUGGUUAAGUUCAUCAAAAGCUGUGGCUUUGGAAUGGUGUUCAGGACUAGGUGACUUUAUAAUAACAUCUCUGGGCCAGAGGUCCAAUCCUCCUAUCAGGAGCAGUUGCAAACCUGAUCUGGUACCUAGAACUCUGAUGAACGAGAUGAUUUUGGCUUAUUUGCACUGAUGAGUCACUCUCUGGAAGUGAGGAUAUACUGAAGGUUCAGUCAUAACCUUGGAGCUCUUUUGUUCUACAGAUGGCAGAGCCAAUCUGAUCUGAUGGGUAGAUGGUGCCAGAGGUUAGGGCUGACCUUUGAGGCAUGGUAAUGUCUCCUUACUCUGAUAGUCAUGGCUCAGUGAGAUCUUUGGAAGUUUGUUGGAGCUUGAAGAAGCCUGGGCUAGUGCUUGAGGUGCAGUGAAGUAUUUGAUUGGUAGAUAGGGGCAAGAGGAGGCAUAACAAACCUUUUAGAAGGUUUCAAGGAUUCAACAGGUACCUUUGUCCUAAAGUCUACAUAAGGAAAUCCUUCAGUGGACAAAUGGGGAGAAGACACAGGUUAUUUCCAAAAGAGGAAGGGCAAAUGCAUCUCUGAGAACAACUUCUAAACUUGUUAAGCCUCCAUUUAGCU